AGAGUUUGAUCAUGGCUCAGGAUGAACGCUGGCGGCGUGCCUAACACAUGCAAGUCGAACGGACUUACAUUGAAGCCUAGCGAUAUGUAAGUUAGUGGCGGACGGGUGAGUAACGCGUGGGUAACCUGCCUUGUACUGGGGGACAACAGUUGGAAACGACUGCUAAUACCGCAUAAGCGCACAGCUUCGCAUGAAGCAGUGUGAAAAACUCCGGUGGUACAAGAUGGACCCGCGUCUGAUUAGCUGGUUGGUGAGGUAACGGCCCACCAAGGCGACGAUCAGUAGCCGGCCUGAGAGGGUGAACGGCCACGAUUGGGACUGAGACACGGCCCAAACUCCGUACGGGAGCA
RNAcentral lists this ribosomal RNA (350 nucleotides) under uncultured bacterium. RNAcentral describes it as "bacterial SSU rRNA". It matches the Rfam family "Bacterial small subunit ribosomal RNA", at positions 8 to 349 of the family's 1533-position model. The record is from RNAcentral.